CCUACGGGAGGCAGCAGUGGGGAAUUUUGGACAAUGGGGGCAACCCUGAUCCAGCCAUGCCGCGUGAGUGAAGAAGGCCUUCGGGUUGUAAAGCUCUUUCGGCCGGGAAAAAAUCGCCUCUCCUAAUACGGGGGGUGGAUGAUGGUACCGGACUAAGAAGCACCGGCUAACUACGUGCCAGCAGCCGCGGUAAUACGUAGGGUGCGAGCGUUAAUCGGAAUUACUGGGCGUAAAGCGUGCGCAGGCGGUUUUUUAAGACAGGCGUGAAAUCCCCGGGCUUAACCUGGGAACUGCGCUUGUGACUGGAAGGCUAGAGUACGGCAGAGGGGGGUGGAAUUCCACGUGUAGCAGUGAAAUGCGUAGAGAUGUGGAGGAACACCGAUGGCGAAGGCAGCCCCCUGGGCCGAUACUGACGCUCAUGCACGAAAGCGUGGGGAGCAAACAGGAUUAGAUACCCUGGUAGUCCACGCCCUAAACGAUGUCAACUAGGUGUUGGGUGGGUAAAACCAUUUAGUACCGGAGCUAACGCGUGAAGUUGACCGCCUGGGGAGUACGGCCGCAAGGUUAAAACUCAAAUGAAUUGACGG
RNAcentral lists this ribosomal RNA (587 nucleotides) under uncultured bacterium. RNAcentral describes it as "bacterial SSU rRNA". It matches the Rfam family "Bacterial small subunit ribosomal RNA", at positions 338 to 916 of the family's 1533-position model. The record is from RNAcentral.